AAUGGGUUGAGCGAAUAUAUACACAAAUUAAUUAUAAGCUAUGAAAAGAUCUGUGGGCAAGGUGGCGACCACUCUAGUGUUUUACAUGAAAACUACACCUCUGUGCCUGGGAGAAUUUGAAUUAUGGUCCGAAAAGAUAAAUAUUAAUAAACACCAAAGCCAGUGAUGUGACUUUGCCUCCUCGCUUCAUAAGUUCACCACCCUGCUAAUACUAACAUAUAUUUUACAGAAGAAAGAAUGUUUACAUUUUCUCAACAUUUUGCAUAGUUUUAUCGAUGUGUUACUAGAAGCCAUAUUGUGACUACAAUCAUUGCCAAAGGAUUUAGCUUUAUAUCCCAUAAUAGUAUAAAUGUGUCUGCUAAUGUAUUUUUUAAUUUUUUUGGUAUCUUCUAUGCACUGAUGUGCUUAUUUAAAGUGACCAAACUAAUUUAUAAUAUAUGAAUGUCUAAUGAGAUGUGACAUUUUUGGAUUUAUACAUGGGUCAAGUACACACAAAAAGGUUUCAUUAUGAUAUUGAUUUUUCAUCCUCAAUUUGCAUGAAUGACUCAAUGGCGAUGUAAAACGUGAACAUUUUCUCCUCUCACAUGGCUUACAAAACUUGAAAUUUGUCGCUUCUCGACUAUUUCUCACUUUCCAAGCUACUCUGCAUGAAGGCAGUGCUGCAAGAUACCACUUCCUUGCUUGUUCUUUUUUUUCUCUCCUCUCUUUUUUUGGUUUCCCGCCUGUUUGAGGAAGUAGCACAAAGAGAGAGGCGUGCAAAGAUGAAAACUUAAAGUGACAACCUACUGACUGUAUGGACACAGAUAACACAGUUCUGGGGGCGUCCCAGCAUGUUUUACGCCCCUUGAUGACCUCGAUUCUCAACAUGACCUCAUAAUGACACCAGCUGCAUUGUCAGGCACUGCCAGAUGUCUUUGCUUUAGUUGUGGUACUGCAGGUUACACAAGCAACGGUGGAGGCGAGGGAGCUAGGCAAGCCGAGGUGGAGCCGCUGGGUCUACGGGCCGAGGUGGAGUCCGGGCCUCAGAGGCUGGAGGAGGAGGUGAGGGAGACUCCGACCAGGGUGACGCUAGAGGAUGGCAGUCCCGUGGGGCUCGCAGCCUCGCACCACAAUGAUGGGCAGUUAUUAUUUUAUGAUUUGCUACAGACAGGCCAUACACUUUUCUUUCCAUUUGGACCCAAAUUUGUAAAAAUGCUGUCUAACCACAUCAUGAUGAAGAGCCUAAGCAUAAUAAUAAAGAGAGAAGUGUGAAAGAGCCGUUCCACCUUCAGAUUUAGAUUCACAAAAGUGGUUUUUACAUAUACUAUGAGUGUAAUGUGUCCAUGUGCUUAAAAAUAUUAGGCAAAAAAUAAAUUUUAAAAACAUUAACCUUCCA
Molecule: long non-coding RNA, 1375 nt
Organism: Cyprinus carpio (common carp)
Lineage: Eukaryota; Metazoa; Chordata; Actinopteri; Cypriniformes; Cyprinidae
Source: Ensembl